UGACGUCAAGUCAUCAUGGCCCUUAUGUCCAGGGCGACACACGUGCUACAAUGGCCGGCACAGCGGGAAGCGAGGCGACGUGAGUGGCCGAGACGGAUCCCUUAAAGCCGGUCUCAGUUCGGAUUGAAGUCUGCAACUCGACUUCAUGAAGCUGGAAUCGCUAGUAAUCGCAGAUCAGCCAAGCUGCGGUGAAUACGUUCCCGGGCCUU
This 209-nucleotide ribosomal RNA is filed under the name uncultured Thermanaerovibrio sp. RNAcentral's name for it is "partial 16S ribosomal RNA". It matches the Rfam family "Bacterial small subunit ribosomal RNA", at positions 1180 to 1382 of the family's 1533-position model. Lineage: Bacteria; Thermotogati; Synergistota; Synergistia; Synergistales; Synergistaceae. The record is from RNAcentral.